Non-coding RNA from Pelobates cultripes (western spadefoot toad), 642 nucleotides. NCBI's taxonomy places the organism in Eukaryota, Metazoa, Chordata, Amphibia, Anura, Pelobatidae. The record is from the annotation of a GenBank genome assembly.
CUGAGCUCAUUACUGCAGACAAUGUUUUUCUUCUUUUGCCUCUCAACUCUGUUUUUGUGUAAGUUUCCUCCGUUUUCCAGAUUCUUCUCAUUUUACAAAAGUAUUUGCAGUUUUAUUGCCGUUUCAAUGCUCUAGGUCAUUAUUCAGCAAAACUGAUUAGCUGAGACAGUUUGUAGGAGUAUAGCUAUUUUUUGCAAAGCAUAUUUGUUAGUAGUAAUAACAGUUUACCAUAUAUUUUUGUUGUUUGCUACUGUAUUUUAUUUUUGUUCUUCAGAUGCAGAAAGUAACUCCCAGCUGCAGCAGCCGGCAGAAGUAACCUCUCUGGAAGGACAGAAUGCAGCAAUCUCAUGUAACCACACCAUCUCCACUUAUGACAGACUGUACUGGUAUAAAGAACAUGAUGUUAAGGGACUGGAGCUAAUCAUAUCUGGCUAUAGAACUACAGAAUAUAAUGGACCAUUCAGUUUGGUGUUCAGUACAGAUAAGCUCUCUGCAACACUUCACAUCAAGGAUGUACAGAUUGCCCAAACUGGGACGUAUCAUUGUGCUGUGAGAGACACAGUGACUAGAGGCAACAGCAUGAAUGGCAUAAAACCUACCACACUCAGUAUGUCAUAUCCUCAUUGCUAUGCAGCGGUUUAA